AAUAGAUACCCGGGUAGUCCAUGCCGUAAACGUUGGGAACUAGAUGUGGGGACCAUUCCACGGUCUCCGUGUCGCAGCUAACGCAUUAAGUUCCCCGCCUGGGGAGUACGGCCGCAAGGCUAAAACUCAAAGGAAUUGACGGGGGGCCCGCACAAGCGGCGGAGCAUGCGGAUUAAUUCGAUGCAACGCGAAGAACCUUACCAAGGCUUGACAUAUACGAGAACGCCGUAGAAAUACGGAACUCUUUGGACACUCGUAUACAGGUGGUGCAUGGUUGUCGUCAGCUCGUGUCGUGAGAUGUUGGGUUAAGUCCCGCAACGAGCGCAACCCUCGUCGUAUGUUGCCAGCACGUAAUGGUGGGAACUCAUAUGAGACUGCCGGGGUCAACUCGGAGGAAGGUGGGGAUGAGGUCAAAUCAUCAUGCCCCUUAUGUCUUGGGCUUCACGCAUGCUACAAUGGCCGGUACAAAGGGCUGCAAUACCGCGAGGUGGAGCGAAUCCCGAAAAAGCCGGUCUCAGUUCGGAUUGAGGUCUGCAACUCCG
RNAcentral lists this ribosomal RNA (542 nucleotides) under uncultured bacterium. Its description in RNAcentral is "bacterial SSU rRNA". It matches the Rfam family "Bacterial small subunit ribosomal RNA", at positions 777 to 1314 of the family's 1533-position model. The record is from RNAcentral.